AAGAUUUCUCAAAAUCGAGCUUCAGGAUAACAAUUUCUUUUCUUGAUUUAUGACAGUGAUGCAAGUAUUCAAAGGCCCACGCCAGGCAAUCUUGUAUAGUCCUGGAUUUUAUGAAGCCAUACUGGUUGAUGUGAAUAAGUGAUGUAAUUACCUUUUGCAGUCUGUUGGCCAAGAGUUUAGUAAGUAGUUUGAUAGAAAUAUUCAGCAGAGAAAUCGACCAAUAAUCUG
RNAcentral lists this long non-coding RNA (228 nucleotides) under Setaria italica (foxtail millet). Its description in RNAcentral is "long non-coding RNA (SITA_LNC004124)". The record is from RNAcentral. Lineage: Eukaryota; Viridiplantae; Streptophyta; Magnoliopsida; Poales; Poaceae.